Saccoglossus kowalevskii is the source of this 960-nucleotide long non-coding RNA. NCBI's taxonomy places the organism in Eukaryota, Metazoa, Hemichordata, Enteropneusta, Harrimaniidae. The record is from RefSeq and is a predicted model, not a curated record.
CUGGGCAGUACUUGACGUCACCUCUGUGGAAUGUGGGCAUGUUACGAACAGCAUUGCUGCUUUCAUGGAGAAAGACAUCUUGCUGAUGUACCCCGAAAGUCCCCCACUCCAUUGUCACACUGAAAAGUAAAGCCCCUCUAUGCUUUGGGGAAACACUGCAGAUAAUGUGAAUUAUCCAGAGUGAUCUGCAGUUUUAAAGAGUUAAGCAAGAAAUAAUUACAGAUAUUCUGAAGUGGCAAGAUGAGUCAUGUGAAGACAUCCAACAACAUCUAGUGCAGCCAGUGCUUCCUGUUUUGUCACCAUGGUGUUGAUAUGGUUAGAAGAUCAUGCUGCACAUCCAACAAUUUAGAGACUUACAAUCAAUGUUUUGUAAAACAGCUUCUUUUCAUUUAGAUAAGUUAUACACCUAAACCAUUGUAAAAUGCUGAAUGAGGAAAGUGAAUUUUCAGACUGUUGUUUUUCUGUAUUCCAGUGAAAGUAUUGCAUCUUACCACAAAAAUCCUAUUGAUUACGAUCUAAAAAAAAUGGACUUCUAUUCUAACAGGAAUUCAAUUCACUUUUAUCAUGCAACGACUAUUGCUGACUGUGUUCAAAAUCUCACUUCUGCAUUUAUGGACUGUAUCUGUGUACAUCAUUUCAGUGGACCUGGUAGCCAGGCUUGGGAAUCAUAUUAGUCGGCAAUGGUCGCUGCACAGUAAAAGUGCAUUUUUAGCUCAUGUACAGGUGGUUAUAUUUUGAGGGUGCAGUCAACUUAUAUUUGAAGCUAACACCAUUGCAGUAUUGACUCACUUUAAAGUACCAUUGUUGCUGAAUUUCACAAUCUUUAAGUGCUCUCUUUUUGCAGCGUUGUGCGAAUACAUUUGUAAUCAUUCCCAGUAAGCAAGAAGUUACUGGUUGAAAAUUGUUUUGAAAAUGUGAAGGUGUAUAUAAACGAGUCUCUCCAGUUAAAUAAAAUUAUUA